RNAcentral lists this ribosomal RNA (487 nucleotides) under uncultured bacterium. RNAcentral's name for it is "bacterial SSU rRNA". It matches the Rfam family "Bacterial small subunit ribosomal RNA", at positions 30 to 504 of the family's 1533-position model. The record is from RNAcentral.
AUUGAACGCUGGCGGCAGGCCUAACACAUGCAAGUCGAACGGUAACAGGAAGAAGCUUGCUUCUUUGCUGACGAGUGGCGGACGGGUGAGUAAUGUCUGGGAAACUGCCUGAUGGAGGGGGAUAACUACUGGAAACGGUAGCUAAUACCGCAUAACGUCGCAAGACCAAAGAGGGGGACCUUCGGGCCUCUUGCCAUCGGAUGUGCCCAGAUGGGAUUAGCUAGUAGGUGGGGUAACGGCUCACCUAGGCGACGAUCCCUAGCUGGUCUGAGAGGAUGACCAGCCACACUGGAACUGAGACACGGUCCAGACUCCUACGGGAGGCAGCAGUGGGGAAUAUUGCACAAUGGGCGCAAGCCUGAUGCAGCCAUGCCGCGUGUAUGAAGAAGGCCUUCGGGUUGUAAAGUACUUUCAGCGGGGAGGAAGGGAGUAAAGUUAAUACCUUUGCUCAUUGACGUUACCCGCAGAAGAAGCACCGGCUAACUCC